RNA transcript from Sinocyclocheilus grahami, 5098 nucleotides. It is a transcript of the gene named BTB/POZ domain-containing protein KCTD3-like, with no coding region annotated. The transcript has 19 exons. Lineage: Eukaryota; Metazoa; Chordata; Actinopteri; Cypriniformes; Cyprinidae. The record is from RefSeq and is a predicted model, not a curated record.
CACAGCGUACUUCUAGCAUCGCUCUGUGGCGUCCACAACACUGAACGUAGCGAAGUCCCAAAUGCUACAGAAAAUGGCCUUUGAUAGUUGAAGGCCGUGUUUUGAGUUGUUUAUUAAAGCUUUGAAUAUGGAGAACACUGUACGAACAGCUCCAUGCCAUACGUCCUUCUCGUGACGCAGAAUGUAUGGGUUCGCUGGGUCGCGAGGAAGAAAGAGAAUCUUGAGGACUCCCGCUGGAUAAUCAAAUAGCUCCUCGCUAACCGCACAGAACUGGAGGAUGGCUGGAAUUAUUGGGAACAGUUCAACAUCUGGAAUGGGUGACAUCAUCCAGCUGAAUGUCGGAGGGACGAGAUUUAGCACGUCAAGGCAGACUCUGACAUGGAUUCCUGACUCUUUCUUCUCAAGUUUACUUAGUGGAAGGAUAUCAACACUACGGGAUGAAACUGGAGCCAUAUUCAUUGACAGAGACCCAACAGCAUUUGCACCCAUUUUAAACUUUCUUCGAACUAAAGAAUUAGACUUGAGGGGGGUUAACAUUAGUAUCCUGCGACAUGAGGCAGAGUUCUAUGGUAUUAGACCCUUAGUCCGACGCUUACUGCUUUGUGAAGAACGGGAGCGAUCAUCAUGUGGAAGUGUGUUGUUUCAUGGCUACCUCCCUCCACCAGCUCUCCCAGUGCGGAGCAGUGUAGGUGGGAAGGCUGCAGCUGUUGCAGCUCCAGAGGAGUGCUCAGGCCCCACUGGCGCGGAGGGGGGUUACCCACGUUCCUGCCCUCAGUCUUCUCUCCCUGGACCCUCUGGGGUAGAUGGACCUCAAAGACUAGGAUCACCAGUGGACCCUAGGAAGGUGCUGAUUGUCGCUGGCCAUCAUAACUGGAUUGUAGCUGCUUAUGCACAUUUUGUCAUUUGCUACAGGAUAAAGGAAUCAUCAGGCUGGCAGCAGGUGUUUUCCAGCCCUUACCUGGACUGGGCCAUAGAGCGGGUGGCCCUCAAUGCAAAAGUCAUGGGCGGCCCACAUGGAGAUAAAGACAAGAUGGUGGCAGCGUCAUCAGAGAGCAGCAUUAUGUUGUGGAGUAUCCAGGAUGGAGGGAGUGGAAGUGAAAUAGGUGUGUUCAGUCUUGGAGUACCUGUUGACUCUCUGUUCUUCAUUGGGAGUCAGCUGGUCGCCACCAGUCACACGGGGAAGGUGGGAGUGUGGAAUGCCGUCACCCAGCACUGGCAGGUGCAGGAUGUGGUGCCCAUCACAAGCUGCGACACUGCUGGCUCCUUCCUCUUGCUGGGCUGUAACAACGGCUCAAUUUACUAUAUUGACAUGCAGAAGUUUCCGCUGAGAAUGAAGGACAAUGACUUGUUGGUGACGGAGCUGUACCACGACCCAUCGAAUGAUGCCAUCACGGCCCUCAGUGUCUACCUGACUCCUAAAACCAGUGUGAGUGGGAACUGGAUUGAGAUCGCAUAUGGAACCAGCUCAGGGGCCGUGCGUGUCAUCGUGCAGCAUCCAGAGACUGUUGGAUCUGGUCCACAGCUCUUCCAGACCUUCACUGUCCACCGCAGCCCUGUCACUAAGAUUAUGCUCUCUGAAAAGCACUUAGUUUCAGUGUGUGCUGACAAUAACCAUGUACGCACAUGGACGGUGACGCGCUUCAGAGGCAUGAUCUCCACUCAGCCAGGAUCUACUCCGCUGGCCUCCUUUAAGAUCAUCUCACUGGAGGAGACAGAGAGCCAUAGUAGCUAUUCCUCCGGCAAUGACAUAGGCCCAUUUGGAGAGAGAGACGACCAACAGGUGUUCAUUCAGAAAGUCAUUCCUAUAACCAACAAACUUUUUGUUCGCCUCUCCUCUACGGGAAAAAGGAUCUGUGAGGUGCAGGCUGUAGGUGGCACCACCAUCACGUGUUUUACAGUGCGAGAGUGUGAGGGCUCGAGCCGCAUGGGCUCCAGACCCCGCCGUUACCUCUUCACUGGCCACGCAAACGGGAGCAUUCAGAUGUGGGACCUCACCACCGCCAUGGACACGGUCAACAAGAGUGACGACAAGGCCAAGCGGGAACCAGAGGUGGGAGGUCCAACUGAGGAGGAGCUGCUGAAGCUGCUUGACCAAUGUGAUUUGAGCACAUCUCGCUGUGCCACACCCAACAUCAGCCCCGCCCCCUCUGUGCUGCAGCACAGCCGGCUGCGAGAGUCCUGCUCCAGUCAUUUUUACAGUCUCCAGCUGCAGGCUCAGGAGCCCAUCCCUGAGACGGCCACUUAUGGAGCCUUGCGGCCGUACCGAGAAAGCCCCUUGCUGGCCCGUGCUCGACACACCGAGAGCUUCCACAGCUACAGAGACUUCCACUGCUUAAACCUGACCAAGGCCCUGCUGGAGAACCACAGACAGUGCGGAUCCAUGGAGGAUGAGAUACACCAUUCAGUGGGAGAGAACAACGCUGAGGACACCGACAAAAGGAACUCUACCAUGGAUCUUUGGGGGUCCAGAUCAUCUGAAACCCAGUCUUCAGCUGCACGCAAACCCCCAAACAGCCCAGGAGACCAGCAGCGAAGGGCCCAUUUGAUGGAGGAAGUGGCUGCAGACCCUAGACCAGAUGGGGGCAGGAGGAGAGGGGCAUUUGAAGCAAAUUUUCUAAGCAGGAAAAAGGCCCCCCCAGUUCCACAACUGAGCCCCCCACCGGCAGGAACUGAUGGAGGGAGCAGCGACUCGUCCAGCACUGCCUCACCCUCGCCAACUAGUGUCCACAUCCCCACGCCAUCGCAAGGCUCCUGACGCUGCAUGUGAGUGAUGGUUCACACAGAUUUGUCCUAUGCAGAGGUCGUACCAAAUACAAUAAUCAAUGACAGGGAAAAGAAAGUAGUUGAAUGGAUGACUUCAAAAGUGAAGCGUUUCAGAAUGUAGAUGCGAAGGUUUGGCAGGAUGCAAGCUGGCAGCUAAAAAAAGAAACCUCACUCACUGUGGACAGAUUUAAAGGGAAAAUACACAGCAUAAAUAUGUCAGUUUCACAUGUCUGUUAACCGGUUGAAAGAAGUUAUUAAGCUUUUGUCAGACUUUAAUAUGAGCUUAAAUAUGAGAUACAUUUACUUUUCAUUCCUUUGAGAAAAUUAACAAAGAGUGACUAGAUUAAUUAUUCAGCCAGUUAGACUUUAGCUUUGUACACCUGUGCCUUUACUAAACAUUUUUAUUGUUUUUGUCCAUUAAAGGGAUAGUCCACCCUAAAAUGAAAACGUGAAGAAAAUUUGAAUGAAGAAUUUACUCACCCUCAUGUCAUUUAAAACCCACAGGACUUUCUUUUGUGGAUCAGCAAAGGAAAAGUUUAACAGAAUGUUUUGCUGCUCUCUUCUAUACAAUGAAGGUGGAUUUAUAUUCAGAGUAAUAGAAUUAAAUGUGUUACUAUUGAUAAUCUUUUCUUGAUAAUCCUUCUCGACAUUUGCUUUCACUGUAUAGUAAAUAUCAGUUUGACUACUUUCGUGUUUCAUGAAAGAAAAAAAAAAUCAUACAGGGGUUGAAAGACUUUUCAGAUUUUGAGUGGAUUAUUGAUUAAAUGGUUUGCUUUUCUCUUGUAAAUGAAGUUGCUUUUUUAAAAAGUAGAUUAGCAUGCUGAUGCUACUGGCCACUAACAGUACCUCCAAAACACUGUGAUGCACUUUAUUGUCUGUACUUACAUUGAAUGGACUGAACAGAUGAGCUUUAAUGAUCAGGUUUGACUCGUGAAGGCAGCAGGAAUCAGCAGCCUUUGACAGAAUCUCUUUCUUUCUUCAUUAAUCCUUUCAGACGGGUUGCGCUCUCUGAACUUUCAGCAUGCAUCCGCAGGGGAUUUUUACUUGCUCUAUCCAUUUUGGGGAUUUAUUCAGUGCCUUUUGCUAAUUUGGAUAGAUACUGCUGUGAGAAAUCAAAACUGAUUUAGCUUUUUUUUCUGUCUUUCUGAUGUGAGGGUUUGUUGGAUUAUCACAUUAUGCAACUGAUUUAAGUGAAGCGGAUUCAGUUACACUCACAGAAUAAGACACUUACCAAGAUGAGAAAAAGAAAAGAAGGUAUAUUUUACAGUUGCCAGAUUUAAAGGUAAUAAUAUACAAUUAAAAAUUGAUUUUUUUAUUAAUGGAUUAGCUCUGUAUUUAAAAUGCUACAAUACAAACUUCUGUCUAAAUUAAUCAACAUGUGAAUAAUGUCAUCAUAACGUGAAAUGUUAUCAUUUGCAUUUUCACUUCUGUUAAGAAUAUACUGUCAAGAAUUAUUUACAGUGGACCCGAAGCUAAUUUUGCAUUCAACUGAUGAGCAUGGUCACUUUCUUUCCAGCCAUUCCACUUAGUGUACAGGUUAUAUCCUGCCAGAGAAAAUGUACAGUAUAUAGUGAUUAUUAUUUUAAUGGUAACUAAAUGGAAUCCUUUAACAAAGUACUUUAUAUAAAGGAAAUGAGAUCGUAUUAAUGCUAUGCAAUCAGUGUUAGUGCUGACAGUAGGCUACAUAGCCUGAAACUAAAUCAUGAAUAACAGAAAUGAAUAGCAGAAAGUUAUUUGGACUACAGCAUGAAGCUAGAAAAAUAAAUUCAAAUAAAUAAAAUAAUAUAAAUAAUUACCCCUUGGAAGAUCUGCAUGUUUCAUUUCUCAAAAUGAUGUUGCAUAUGCUUCCAAUUGACUUUUUAAAAUGUCCUUUGUUGCUAAGACUGGUUUGCUCCUAGGUGUAGUGAUCUUGGUAUCAAAAUGGUAUCAAGAUAUGCAUAUUAAUUAAUUAAAUGCAUAUUACUUAAUCAGCUACUUGUGUAAUUUAUUUGCUCUCUGAGAUGUUUCAGUGUUGGGGAAUAUUUAAUUGACAAGAGUAUGAUUCUUUAUGCUUGCUUUCAGAAAUACAGUCACAAGCUGAUUUGUGUUUUCAGUCUGGUUACUGUAUGAUUUCAUCUCCAGACAAGAGAUCUUAUCAUUUCAAUAUGCAGAAUAGUUAUGUUUUAUCAAACAAGACUGGCUUACCUGCUGCACAGAUCAUGACAUGGCUACAAGAAGAAAGUUUACGUUACUUGAAAUAUGGAGAGAAAAAAAAAUAGAAUAUGGUACAUACAGCACAGAUCGGUACUCAGCUUCUGUACAUUUCCAGUGGCACAAUAAAGUAGCCAAACAGAGC